UACAGAGGUCUCAAGCGUUGUUCGGAUUCAUUGGGCGUAAAGGGUGCGUAGGUGGCGCCGUAAGUCGGGUGUGAAAUUUCGGAGCUUAACUCCGAAACUGCAUUCGAUACUGCGGUGCUUGAGGACUGGAGAGGAGACUGGAAUUUACGGUGUAGCAGUGAAAUGCGUAGAGAUCGUAAGGAAGACCAGUGGGGAAGGCGGGUCUCUGGACAGUUCCUGACACUGAGGCACGAAGGCCAGGGGAGCAAACGGG
Molecule: ribosomal RNA, 253 nt
Filed under: uncultured bacterium
Lineage: Bacteria
Description: partial 16S ribosomal RNA
Rfam family: Bacterial small subunit ribosomal RNA
Source: RNAcentral